Molecule: long non-coding RNA, 508 nt
Organism: Raphanus sativus (radish)
Lineage: Eukaryota; Viridiplantae; Streptophyta; Magnoliopsida; Brassicales; Brassicaceae
Exons: 3
Source: RefSeq, a predicted model, not a curated record
UUUGUUUGUUUGGGAUUGGACUGUGAAAGUUGAAGCUGUGUCCGGCCCUAUAGAGAAAAAUGAAGGCUAUCUCUUCCACUUCGUGCGACGGCGACUCCAUACCGUUUGUGUUUCUUCCCACGAUCUGAAACGGUCGGAGUAAAGGUUUUGUGUUCAAUCCCAGAGAUUCACUCCCCCACGAUGUCAUCUUCAAUGCUUUGUUUCGAACUGGAAGGCGGUGUUUGUUCUGUAUAAAUAUGUAUGCCUCGGUGGUUCUGUGGUGGUACUCUAUGCCCGUGGUGGAGGUUUUAUGGUCUGUUCCGGUAGCUCUCUACGAAUUUGGAAGCUCCAGCCUCUUCUCGCCUCUCGGUGGUGGUUUUGUGCCACUGAAGGUUCAUUGCGGCGAGUAACCCUUGACGGAGCAGGACUGCAAAUCUUCAACGGGUCAGAAGAUUGUGAACUGAACUGAUCAACAAAAGCCAAGCUAAUCACAUGAGAUCUUUUGGUCAGGGUCAACAGCUAUGGCAAG